GUGGGGAAUAUUGGACAAUGGGCGAAAGCCUGAUCCAGCCAUGCCGCGUGUGUGAAGAAGGCCUUCGGGUUGUAAAGCACUUUAAGCAAGGAGGAAAGGUUGACGGUUAAUACCCUUUAGCUGUGACGUUACUCGCAGAAUAAGCACCGGCAAACUUCGUGCCAGCAGCCGCGGUAAUACGACGGGUGCAAGCGUUAAUCGGAAUUACUGGGCUUAAAGCGCGCGUAGGUGGUUAAGUAAGCGAUCUGUGAAAGCCCCGGGCUCAACCUGGGAAUUGCAGGUCGAACUGCUUGGCUAGAGGAUGGUAGAGGGGUGUGGAAUUCCAGAUGUAGCGGUGAAAUGCGUAGAUAUCUGGAGGAACAUCAGUGGCGAAGGCGACACCCUGGACCGAUACUGACACUGAGGUGCGAAAGCGUGGGUAGCGAACAGGAUUAGAAACCCGGGUAGUCC
This 450-nucleotide ribosomal RNA is filed under the name uncultured bacterium. RNAcentral describes it as "partial 16S ribosomal RNA". It matches the Rfam family "Bacterial small subunit ribosomal RNA", at positions 354 to 796 of the family's 1533-position model. The record is from RNAcentral.